This 5949-nucleotide long non-coding RNA is filed under the name Xyrichtys novacula (pearly razorfish). Lineage: Eukaryota; Metazoa; Chordata; Actinopteri; Labriformes; Labridae. The record is from RNAcentral.
GUCAAUCAACCGCAGGAGGACCGUCCACCGUGCCUUACCUAGCGAUAAUUAAGUGUUUUGGGACUUUGUGCUGCAUUUCUAAAAGAUGGAGCGACUAAUUCUCACAGUCACACCUCUCGGAAUGGAAAUACUGGUGGUUAUUUCAGCCGGAACUGCUGAAACGUGAGGCGCACUGCUGUGAACCAUUAGAGUAAAUUUGGCGCUGUAACAGGUGACGAGCACGAGGGAACAAUCAAAGUAAGUUAAAACAUAUUCUUUACCGGGUUUUCUUUAUUGUAUUAUUAUUUUUUUAAUAUCUGGUGAUUUAGCCCUCUGCUUUUUUCCUCUAAGUCUUCCUCGAGACCUUACUAAAUUUGCGUACUUUGAAAAAAUGAAGCUUAACCGUUAAAAAAAUAUAUAAAAAAAAUAAAAACACGAGUGCAAAAUUACCCCCCCCCCCCCCAAAAAAAAAAAAAAUAAAUAAAUAAAUCUGUAAGUUGUUCAGUCUAAACCUUAUACCCUUGUUUGAUUGAUACCCUCCAAAUAUUUAAAAUCGUCUUUUUUCAUCCUAUUUCACAGUCAAUAAGUAUAGAGCAUUAAAUUAUUUACUUAUUUUGAGGAUGCAACAACAAUUACUCCACAAGCAGAAAUGUUAAUUGUAAAUCGCAUGCAAAAAAAAGAUUAAUAAAAUUUGUAGAUUAACUGUGUGCCUGGAUUAAAUAAAGCAAACACAAUGACUAAAAUGAUAUUUUUAAAUUAACAUAAAGUUACAAUUAAAGCUUCCAUACACAAAUCACAGCCUUUCUUUUUUUUAACUCUCAAAAUGAGUCACACAGCUUGAAAUGUAAUGCCAAUAAAAAUAUAUGUAUCUAGUGAAAAUUAAAAAAGUUAUCAUAAACUUAGUCUUGAUUGUGGCAUUAUUUUUCUACAGUUUUAUUGAAGAUAUUAAAGUGAGGUCAGAAAAAUACAGACAGGAUUUAUAGUUCAUUCCAUAAUUGAAAAUAAUAGUCUGCAAAGUUGAGUCUGCCUCCACUCACUCAAAAACAUUGAGUGAAAUUAAAAAGAACUGUUUGGUCAGCUUAAUGACUUCAAAACAAAAUAAAAAACUUUACUUCUAGGGCACUUUAAUUUUGCAUAUUGAGUGAUUUCUUUUCAAUAUAGGAAAAGGAAUUGGAGUUUAACAGUGAAUGGAUAUUUAAUAUCUCCUUUCUGCAUCAAUUCACAUUUGUGCAGUAAAUUUUGCUGUCACUUACAUUUGGAAAACUACUAAAUGAUUAAUUGUAUCUGGUAUUGUCAUGUGAAGCAUUAGUAGCUUGAAAAACAGAUCCAGUUACACUAUUCCUCCAACUUCUUGUGGCAUAACUCAGAGUAGCUAACCAUCUUUCAUGCGUCACAAGGACGGCAUCAUGUGAUUAAACAGAACGGGAUGUCAGUGAGGUUGACCUGUGCAGCGAUUAUUUUCAAUGACACAGUCCAACAAAGGAGAGUCAAAGUGAAAUGCAAGUUCCCCCUGGGUGCAAAAACUUCUCUGUCUGUGCAUGAAUCAUAAUAAACUUGCAAUCGGUCUAAGUGACAUUUGCUUGGACCAUGUCAAAAAUAAUCUUUGGGAAUUGUUGGAAUUGUGCCAUUUUUGCAUGAAGCACAAAAGAUUCUGGCAAGCCAUUAUUUUGCCAGAAUAAAUAAAAAUCUUAGAUUUAGAAAUAAAUAUGUAAAUAAUUAAAAUCGCUUAAACUUUUAUGGGUUUUCUGCUGUUUUAAUGAGUCUACUCUUUAACGAGUGGGCCAAAGUUGGCAUAAAACGGCAUGUAAAUUUACUGAGUCUUCUAAGCCAUAGCCAUAUUUUUAUUGUUUCCUAAAAGAAGUAUGAAACUCAUUUCAUCCCCAAGAAGCCUCUCGAUAUCUUUCAACACAGACUUACAAUGACUAAAGAGUAAAACACUGCUCGGUUUUUAUAUGACAGGCCACAGAGACAGAUGCCACUGGGAUACAGUGAAGCAGCUGCAGACGUUAUAGAUAUGCCAAAACAUUUCUCCUUUGUUUUAGAUUCAGAGAUACCCCAGGAGAAAGUAUGCAGGAAAUUUCCAAUGUACACAAAGCUGUCAAAUUUCUUCUCAUACGGGGGGGUGGGGUGGGGUGGGGUGGGGGGUGGGGGGGGGGGUGAUGGAGACUGAAGAAAAGACAUAUAGCCCAUAAAAAGCUGGUCCUCAAAAGUACUCAGGAGGAUUCACAGUACAAGUGAUCCUCAUGAGCAUAAGAAAGUACAGAAAGCUGCUCUGGAAGCAAGAAUUCAGAAUAAAUGAUUUGUCAUCAAACAUGCCUUUCUUGUAAUGUGCCACGUUGAAACCGAGCAGCAGGGCUCUCACGGGUUAAACUAGCCGGCUUGAUUUAUUUGCCUCCGCUGGGUUUGACUGUAUUGAUUCCAGGUCACUUGACUGGCUGACUUCAGAUCAUGUUCAGGUGACUUCAACACAGAUGGAACAAAACGGCAGGGCACCGAGAAAGCAACUUUCCCCUCCCAUAAUGAGUUCCAUACAGACUCAGUAUUGAGCGGAGCCUGAAGAGAAGUGAAAGAUGUUGGAGAAAUGAUAUUAAUACGCCUCUAAUAUUGCCCACAGAGAUCUUUCUGCCACGCUAUGUUAUAAAGGCGGCAGAGUAAUAAAAUAAGUUUAAUAGAGAACAGAGAUGUCUGAAUGGUAUAAAUCCUCUCCUGUUCCUCUGAGGCCUCUUAAUGCAACAAAACCAAAGCACACCAUACUGCACUAUUCCAGUAAUGUGCGCUUUGUCUCAGCAGAAUCAAAACAGCCUGUUUUAGAGUUACACUCAUCACAGAAAUCCACAGUAAAUAGAAAACAAACCUCAUGAUACGUGAAACAAAUCAACUGUUAAAUUAUCUUCUAAUAAUGCAGUGCAGUGAGGAGAAACUGAUUUCAGCUCAGAUAUGCUUGAAAAAUUGCAGCUCACAGUUUAUCAGAUAUAUCACUAAAUUACAUUAUGAGAGAGCAUCCUUUUGACCAGAGGCAUGCUGGGAAAUGAAGCUACAUAUCAUCAGGAAUGCAAAGUCAGCAUUAUUUAGCAUGUCUGCAUCAUUUUAUGCAAAUAUAAUCGCUUUGUAUAUCCUUUAGAGUCUAUUAUCAAUACAAAUAAAAUGUGGGUUUAUGAUUUAAUGACCAAACAAAGUGGUGAUACAUUUACUGUACAGGGAACAUACUGCAUAUGAACCACAUCAUGAGAUGCAUUGAUAGAAAUUAUGAUGUUUGCGCACAACCUUUAACUCUCUUUAACUCUAAAACAAUUAAUGAUAAAUCAUUAAAGCAGCAUAUAAAUGUGGAUUAUUUCAUUGCAGUUUUAUCCUGAAAUUAAUUAAAAAUAAUUAGAAAAAUUAUACUUUAGUAACACCCAUGAAACUACUACUCAAAACUUAAGUCUUGUUUCUUGCAGCUGCUGUAUAAAAAUAUAGUGGUACAUUAAAUUUUUAAUAACUUAUCUGAAAUAGCUUCUUGUUCCUUGCAGGUUUGUAUUGAAGAUUUCUACAAUGGCAGAGAAGAAAAUUUUCCUAUAAUUUUGCAUUUUCUCAAAACUAAUUUUAUCUGCCAAAUUAUUUAAUUAUUUUAAACAAAAACUCUAAAUGAGAAUAAGUCAAAAAGAAACUGAAAAAUCUUUAUAUUAAAUCUAUAAAUAUACCCUUUUAUAUAAAUAAGAAUAAUAAUCAACAACCACACAUUUAGUUUUAGAUUUUCACCAACAUAUUCGGCUAACAUGGUCAAAGUAAAACUUUUGUGCAGCAGUUUAAUCAGACGAUUCAGUUAUAAUAUUUUUAUUAAAAUAUCAUCAUAAAACAGUAUGAAUUGUUAGGUAAACUGUUAGCAAAACAGAAGUAAAGUAUGGAAAUGUUUUGUUGUGCAUCAGAGUGGAUGAGUGCUGUGGGUUUCCUUUGCAAAGCUGUGUGACGUGUCAUUGCAUCAACACUGCCACCGAGAGGUCAACAGUAGAACCCUUCAAGUGUCCUUUUUACCAAAACACGUGAAACUCUCUAUUUAGAAUAAUAUUUUGAUAUAAGCUAAAGGUGGCCUUGAGUAUUGGCUCUCAUUUUUUAAUGCAGCUGUUUGUAGAUGCAGGCCAUGAAAAUUUAGGUAUGUUUUGACCUAUAAAGUAAGUUUUCUCAGAAGAGAAGUGGCAUCAAAAUAGAUUAAUGUGCCUGGGGCUCAAUUAUGGAUAACUGUCUCGCACAUAUACAAAUAUGUGUAUAUUUUUAAAAGAAAAGUUUGAAUUUAACUCUGAAUUAACCAUCUUAAAGAUAAUUCUCUUUUCAGUUUUUAAAUGCGUCAAGGACUUGAGUCAUCUCAAAACCUAUAUGCAGAAAAAUAAAAAUGUGCAUAAAACAAGCAAAAAUGCUGAUACAUUUGUUGGUGUAGGGCUGUUUUUAUUGCUUGGAUGUUAAUGAAUAUAAAUUAUUUAUCUGGGCUGUUGAAAGAGGCCAGCUUUCAGUUCAUCUAAAUGGAUUUGAACUUUGAAUUAAAUCAGAGAAUUUGACUCUAUCCCCCCAGUGACUCCCGUUAUCUGGAGUUAAACACAGGCUACGUCAUGUCAGUGAGGAUGAAAUGAAGCAAAGGAGGGUUGGCACACUUUAAGCUAUCUUUAUCCGUUAGCAUAUUGAGCUUGAACUUAACCCAUUCAAAACGGCCACUCUGGUCUGGAAUCGAUUUCACCUCAAGCUCCAGAGGGCUUACGGUGAGGUAUUGCACUCAGUCGGCAUCGGCAGCUGGAAAAAGAGGAAGGAAAUAAAAUGGCCGGCUCUCCAUAAAAAGUUGGUGUGUGAUCCCUGACCCUGCGCUGAGAAAGAGCCACUGACUCCUCUAAUCUAAGGGGACCUUUAGCAUGUGGAUUAACCUUAGCCGAGAGCACGUUUGCACAAAGAGGAGGAGGAGGACUGACUGUGUUAAACCCUAACAAGUGGAAAAAUCAAACCCUAUUUGAAAAAACUCAGUCUUUACCUUAAGUUUUAUUUAUUUUGAUUUGUCCUACCAGACAAAAGUGACUUUGUUUGCAACUUUCUGAAGUUAAACUGCACUGCUACAGAAGACAUGGAGACACUCCUAAUUAUAAAAAGACAUUUAUUCAGAGCUCAAGACAAAGAAAAAAAACAGAGACUGUCUGCUUAUCUGUCCUAAAUAGUUGACUGCACCCGACCUCACCACCACCUUCCCAGCAUAUUGGUUUACCCCUGCCAAAAAUUUAAUUCAAUCCCACUUAGUUGCUCCAGCUUUAAUUAAAUCGACCAAAAGCCCUGGCAGGAUUUAAUUCACUUCCUUGUUAAGUGAACUUUACAGACACUGUAGAACUUUCACUAGCGAACUGUGGGGACAUGAGGGGAAGGACACUUAAAGUUUAACUGUCUUAGAAUUAAAAAAGGCUAAUUCAAGGCACUAAUCUGUGUGAGGCUAAGACAGAAAUCAGUGUCGUCGUUGCUUUAGGGUGGUGUCUGUGAUAGUUAAAAAGAAAUGUGGGGGGAUGUUGCACGCCUGUUGCAAAGCAGACAACACUUUUUACCAUCAUAAUAAAUCUCAGCGCCAUAAAACUGAGGCCCAGUAAAACGUGAUUCGGCUGACAGUCAUGAAGAAAUGAAUGCCUUGAUGAAAUGGCAGUCAUCAAUCAUGGCGUAGGUUUUGGAUGCUAACGUCCCGGCUUAGCUCUCUACUAAUUGAUAAGAACUGUGGGCAUAAAUCAGCUGCUGUGUGUUGAUGCUUUGUGCUGUUGUCGCUGUGGUUUGUGUUUCAGAGCCACAGAUAAAUUUUCCCAUCGUACAGACUGAGCAGAAGACGACAUGAGUUGAAGUCAUUUUCCAGUGAUGUGGCGAAUACUUAAAUUUUCUCUGGGACAAGAGUUAGAGCCACAAACCCGUUUGUCAAAAACUUCAAACUAAUCACCAACUACAAUUGAUUGUAAUGUAUUAUCAGAAAUACUAUAAGGCAAG